Molecule: transfer RNA, 47 nt
Filed under: Longidorus vineacola
Lineage: Eukaryota; Metazoa; Nematoda; Enoplea; Dorylaimida; Longidoridae
Description: tRNA-Cys
Source: RNAcentral
GUGAAAGGAGAGAAUAAGCUGCAAACUUAUUUUAAUAGUCUUUCUCA